UAGGGAAUAUUAGUAAUGGGCGAAAGCCUGAACUAGCAACGCCGCGUGUGCGAAGAAGGCCCUCGGGUUGUAAAGCACUUUUUGAGAGGAUGAGGAAGGACGGUACUCUCAGAAUAAGUCUCGGCUAACUACGUGCCAGCAGCCGCGGUAACACGUCGGAGGCAAACGUUAUCCGGAUUUACUGGGCGUAAAGCGCGUGUAGGUGGUUAGGUAAGUAGGGCGUGAAAGCUCCUGGCUCAACUGGGCGAGGCCGUCCUAAACUGCCGAACUAGAGGAUGGUAGAGGGAGGUGGAAUUCCGGGUGUAGCGGUGGAAUGCGCAGAUAUCCGGAGGAACACCAGUGGCGAAAGCGGCCUCCUGGACCAUUCCUGACACUCAGACGCGAAAGCUAGGGUAGCAAACGG
RNAcentral lists this ribosomal RNA (403 nucleotides) under uncultured bacterium. RNAcentral describes it as "bacterial SSU rRNA". It matches the Rfam family "Bacterial small subunit ribosomal RNA", at positions 355 to 775 of the family's 1533-position model. The record is from RNAcentral.